RNAcentral lists this ribosomal RNA (500 nucleotides) under Vibrio sp. WH273. RNAcentral's name for it is "bacterial SSU rRNA". It matches the Rfam family "Bacterial small subunit ribosomal RNA", at positions 910 to 1410 of the family's 1533-position model. Lineage: Bacteria; Pseudomonadati; Pseudomonadota; Gammaproteobacteria; Vibrionales; Vibrionaceae. The record is from RNAcentral.
UUGACGGGGGCCCGCACAAGCGGUGGAGCAUGUGGUUUAAUUCGAUGCAACGCGAAGAACCUUACCUACUCUUGACAUCCAUAGAACUUUCCAGAGAUGGAUUGGUGCCUUCGGGAACUAUGAGACAGGUGCUGCAUGGCUGUCGUCAGCUCGUGUUGUGAAAUGUUGGGUUAAGUCCCGCAACGAGCGCAACCCUUAUCCUUGUUUGCCAGCACUUCGGGUGGGAACUCCAGGGAGACUGCCGGUGAUAAACCGGAGGAAGGUGGGGACGACGUCAAGUCAUCAUGGCCCUUACGAGUAGGGCUACACACGUGCUACAAUGGCGCAUACAGAGGGCGGCCAACUUGCGAAAGUGAGCGAAUCCCAAAAAGUGCGUCGUAGUCCGGAUUGGAGUCUGCAACUCGACUCCAUGAAGUCGGAAUCGCUAGUAAUCGUGGAUCAGAAUGCCACGGUGAAUACGUUCCCGGGCCUUGUACACACCGCCCGUCACACCAUGGGAG